This 293-nucleotide ribosomal RNA is filed under the name uncultured bacterium. RNAcentral's name for it is "partial 16S ribosomal RNA". It matches the Rfam family "Bacterial small subunit ribosomal RNA", at positions 505 to 796 of the family's 1533-position model. The record is from RNAcentral.
GUGCCAGCAGCCGCGGUAACACGUAGGGGGCAAGCGUUGUCCGGAUUUAUUGGGCGUAAAGAGCUCGUAGGCGGCUCAGUAAGUCAGGUGUGAAACCUCCAGGCUCAACCUGGAGACGCCACCUGAUACUGCUGUGGCUAGAGUCCGGUAGGGGAGCGUGGAAUUCCUGGUGUAGCGGUGAAAUGCGCAGAUAUCAGGAGGAACACCAGCGGCGAAGGCGGCGCUCUGGGCCGGAACUGACGCUGAGGAGCGAAAGCGUGGGUAGCAAACAGGAUUAGAUACCCCGGUAGUCC